AAAACUUCCAUUUUCUGGAAAAAGUGGAUUUAAUUAUGGUGUCCAAGGAGCACCGUGGAUCCUAUGAAAAACGCACCAGUCUGACAUAGCAUACCCA
Sander lucioperca (pikeperch) is the source of this 97-nucleotide long non-coding RNA. RefSeq lists it as uncharacterized. NCBI's taxonomy places the organism in Eukaryota, Metazoa, Chordata, Actinopteri, Perciformes, Percidae. The transcript is spliced from 3 exons. The record is from RefSeq and is a predicted model, not a curated record.